AUGGGGUCAAAAGCCAUUUCUCAAGUUCAUUGGAAACCCGGCGAUUCACAAUUUUGGUAUGGUGUCAUGAAGGCCAAGGAAUUCUUUUUUCAUUUUGGUACUUUCUUAGAUAGGGAUGGUUCCCAGGUUCGAUUCUGGGAAGAUACCUGGCUAGGCGCCACCCCACUUAUGGUGCAGUACCCUAGCUUGUACUAGAUUGCCACACAUAAAUUUGUCAUGAUCAAACAAGUUUUGGGACAAGAAAACUCCAAUAUUUCUUUUCAUAGGGACCUCUUUGGCCCUCGUCUGGCAGCAUGGAAUUAA
RNAcentral lists this ribosomal RNA (303 nucleotides) under Triticum aestivum (bread wheat). Its description in RNAcentral is "partial small subunit ribosomal RNA". Lineage: Eukaryota; Viridiplantae; Streptophyta; Magnoliopsida; Poales; Poaceae. The record is from RNAcentral.